GGAAUCAAGAGACAACAACAGUACGACACACAAUUCCGUCGUUUUAUUUCAUCCAAAACGACCACGUUUCCAACCAUCGUUUCACUUUUACAUUUCUUUGCUCAAAUAAUUAUAAUUUGAAUUUAGAAUUAAGAUUUAGAACACAAGAGAAUAAAUUGAAGAUAUAAUCAUCAACCAUAGAUGAUAAGAACAUAACCAGGAACAAAUUUUCAAGUUGUGGCUUUUGAGGUGACAGAUGUUGCUUGGAGAUUCGAAGCCUGAAGUUGAACCAAUGGAUUGUACAGCUGCUCGAAAGACACAGAAGGCUGAUCGAGAAAAGUUAAGGAGGGAUCGUCUAAAUGAACAGUUUGUAGAACUGGGUAACAUUUUAGACCCUGAUAGGCCCAAAAAUGAUAAAGCAACCAUUCUAGGUGAUACAGUUCAAUUGCUGAAGGACCUUACUUCUCAAGUUAGUAAACUAAAAGAUGAGCACACUAUGCUAAAUGAAGAAUCUCGAGAGUUGACUCAGGAGAAAAAUGAUCUCAGAGAAGAAAAGGCUUCUCUUAAAUCAGAUAUCGAGAAUUUGAAUAACCAGUAUCAGCUGCAACUCAGAACUAUGUUUCCAUGGACUGCAAUGGAUCAUUCAGUUAUGAUGGCUCCACCGUCAUAUCCGUAUCCAGUUCCAAUGCCGGUACCUCCUGGACCAAUUCCCAUGCAGCCGUACCCCUUCUACGCUAAUCAACAUCCUGCAGUCAUCCCUAACCCCUGUUCAACAUACGUUCCAUUUUUAGCCCCUAAUACAAUCGUUGAACAGCAAUCCACCCAAUACGUAUCCCCACCUCUUCAUCCAGGUAGCCGGUCCCAUGUAUCAGGAAAACAAGAUUCUAAAAACAAAUCAUCCAGGGAGAGCAGGGCUGAAAGAAAUGAGGAAUCUAAUGAUGUAGCCACGGACCUUGAGUUGAAGACUCCCGGGUCUUCUGCAGACCAGGAUUUAUCGUCCGCACAAAAGAAAUCGAGCAAGUCAUCGAGAAAGGAAAGCAGUUUCACAGAAGGUAGUUCGUUAGGCAAGUGUUCUUCAUCGUACAGCGUUCAGGAUAGCUCAUCAAGUAGUGUAGUUGGGAGCAGAAAGGCUAGUGAAUGAGAGAACAUAAUUUUAGGCAAGUGUUUGUGCCUUUUGAAGCUACUAUGAGUGUUUUCAUUGUGCUUCUGCUGCAACUAAUCUGGAGGUAUACGUCACUUCUAUGCUUAUCCUGAAAAGAAAGUUGCUUCUGUUCUCUCAUCCUGACUAGUAGUUUAUUCUGAGUACUGUAUAAUUUGAUCAUAAACUUUUCCUUGUGAGGAAAAGCUUUGCAGGUUCAAUUGUUUAUAUUCCUAUUUCUUGUGAAAAAUUGAAAUUGAAGAUGGAAAAUCUCCAAGCUGAAACCAGUAAGGCUAACAUGAAUAAGAACAUCAGCCAGACCUAAAAUAUGAUAAAAGAAGGGAAGACAAUAAGAAAAAGUGCACCUAUCAAAUAUAAUAUGGCCCAAUUUAAAUUUGGUAUUUUGGUCUAUUUAAAAUAGAGUACUCAAACAAAUUGAAAAAAUUAUAGUACAAUUCCAAACAUUAUGGUCACCAAAUAUUAAAUUUAAAAUUUGUUUUCAAGUUACUUGAAUUUAAAGUGUGUUGAAUAAGGCCAAUGUUAAUAGUUUUUGUUCUCAUUCAUCUCAAUCAAGAAAAUUCUAUUGUACUCGUCCAAAAAAAAGAGAAAAGAAACACCAGUACCCGACUCUUGCAGGUUGUACACAGCAAAAUAUGUUUAUAGGACAUAAGUUACACUCAAAGAAUAUAUGCCAAAACUCAAAGCCAUCCUUGUAUCAGAAGCAAAAGAAGCUCUUAUAUAAACCUUAGAGAACAACCUAGUUCUAGUGUCUGUUUCUUCAUGUGUCACUGACUGAGAAAACAUGGGGUGGUUAUUCUCCAAGAAGAGGAAUGCAGAAUGGAAGCAUGGAUACAUGGAGCAGAACAUGGAAACUGUUUCUCCUUCCCCAACUCUUCAUUUGUUUGUGGUAUUUGGCAUUGUUAUUAGCUUGUUAUGGCUCUCCCAUUACACUGGCUACAAAGCUUAGCAACAUAACAUACCCAAUCUACUUUCACUUAGUACUUUUGUUGAUUCUCUUCUUUGUUUCAUACUCUACUUGUGGAUGGUUCAACUUUCGCUUCACACAUUCGAAGCACGAGUUGCGACAACUAGCUAUGGUGUCUCACUGUCUCCCUCUAUCUUUGCCAUCUUGCUGAUGCGGCUACUGCUACUGCUAUGGCUUUCUUAUUUUCCCUCGUGAACUAAAGCAUGUGGUUUCAAAUGAAUUACUAUAAUUAUAAUUGUAAUUCAUCAUGCGUUGCUUGUAAUCGUUGUAAGGUUAUUUAAAUGUCAAGUUGAACUUCAUAUAUGAAAAUGACUAAUGUUAAUACAAA
Cicer arietinum (chickpea) is the source of this 2430-nucleotide non-coding RNA. The record is from RefSeq and is a predicted model, not a curated record. NCBI's taxonomy places the organism in Eukaryota, Viridiplantae, Streptophyta, Magnoliopsida, Fabales, Fabaceae.